CAAUCAUCGGCGUUCCAAAGACUCGAAUACACUCUCAUCGGCUGGCUCUUUGGGAACGCAACGCCCAUCGAUUCCAAGUCCUUGAACUCUCUGAGCGGAGUCCCAUCAACAGAGAAGCUGUGAACAUUCAAAAGAACCACAGUUAAACAUAAUGAAAAAUAAUCGAAACUGUAAAAAUUGAAUGGGGGGGGGGGGGUGUGAAAAAGAAGACGUACAUAAUACGUUGAGGGUUCCAAAGAAGGGAGUAGGUGUGGAAGUCUUUGGUGGGAUCGAACCAAAGGUAGAACUGUUGCUCUUUCUCACCUUUGCCUUGUGUAUAUACAUUGGUGUGGACUGUGUAUGGGUCUCCGCUUAGGUUCCCCAAGAACUCGAAGUCGAUUUCAUCCCAUGUCGACCCUUCCGAACGAAGCUGCAAUUGUCACCCCACAUAUCAGCACAGAGUUGUAAAAUAAAUAAGAGACAAGUAUGAUGAUACAACGUACAUAGUAAGUGGUAACAGUGCCAGCAGAGUUGCCUGGGACCAGCUUAAUGUUCAUAUCAAUCUUCCCAAACAGAUAUUGGUUCUUGGAUUGAAAACCAGAGCCGGAGAAUUUGUCGAGGGUGAGAGUGAGAAGGUUUCCGUUUUCGAGAAUCUUGCCCCUGCCAUCACCCCAAGUAACAUCGAUGUCUUGGUUAAAGUCGGCAGCUGAGGCAAGUAUUACAAAGCUGAAUAAAAGAGAAAGAAGCAACGAAGUGGUCAUUAUUUUGGUGGGUUUGUAUUGUAAUUUAGAUUAUGAUGUUUGAAAUGGGGAAGUGAUAGAGGGUGGUUAUAUAGGGGGGAAGGAUUUGGUGAAACAGAGUAGAGAGGGGUUGUUUGGAAGCUUCGUGCAAUGUGUUUCCGUCGGGACAUUGAGUGAAUCGAAGUUGUAAACAGCUGGAACCAUAAAAGAGAAAGAAAGAACUAAUGGCUGUUCCUUGCUUCCAAAAUGCAUGUUUAAUUAAUGGGUUUGGUGCCUUCUUCCUAUGUCUGGUUGGUGCAAGCAGAUAGAUAUGAAAGUCAGGAAUUUAAUCCGAUUUUAAAAUUUGAGCUUUUAAAUAAAAAAUAAAUUAUUUAAGAUAAUAUAAAUGAAUGUUAAAAUAAACUUUAAAAAUAUAGGUGUUUUUACAUCCAAUAGUAAGUUACAUUAUAUUUUUAAAAAAAAAUCGUGUAUUUGAAUUUUGAAAAUAUCGAAAUGAUCUUAAAAUAAACAUGAUUGAUUUGUUCUACAAUUUGAGUGAACCAAAAGAUUUCAUUAGCUUAAAAUCAGCUGUGUUAAUUAAUGUGAGUAAUUGUCAAUGGCAAAACUAGGGGAGGAUAGCAGGGUCUUAGACCCCCUAAAAUAAAUAAAAAUUUCGUAUGGUCUUUUGAGUAAAGGUAAAAUUAUAUUUUGGUCAAACUUAGAAAUAUAAAAAUUUGAUUUAUUCCUUUAAAAAUUAUAAAAAUAUAACCUAUUAAAAUGAUGAAAUUAUAUUUUUUUAUCAUAAAAAUUACAAUUUAAUUUUGACUGUUAAAUAUAUAUUUUUUAAUUUCACCCAUUGUCAUUGUCAUAUUGAUUGACUAAUUUUUGGAUCCAACAAAAACUCAUCCACUGGGCUCAUCAUCUCAAACAAAAAUAAUAAUUAAAUUAAUUAUAAAAAUGUCUAACCAAGUUCACAUUUUUAACAUUCUUUCAAUGAAAAUUAAAAUGAUUUUUACGCUACGUGUUAUUUUGAUUAUUUAUUUAUCUCAAAUUAUGGAGUAUAAAUUUAAAUGUUAAAAUAUACUUUAAUCCUCCUAUUAUUUUCAGAAAUUUAAACCCUCGGAUAAAUAGACAUAGAUGAAUUAUUUAACGAUUAAGUAGAAAUUAAUCACAAAUAAUUAAAAUAGAAAAAUAAAAUUUAAAAUUUUUUAAAAAAUAUAUUUGAACAUUAAGUAGCAAAAAAAAAAAACAAGUAACUUAAAUGUGAAAAUAAAAUUUAAAAAUUAUAAAAAUUAAUCCUUUUCCAAAAUACUAAUUAAAUUGUCUUUAUUAAGUUUUAAUACCUAAAUUACUUCUACUAAUUUUUUUAUAGUACCUAAGCUACCUCUAUUUACUCCUUAUGGCUAUCAAAGGAGAUGGUUUUAUUAUUUAUAGAUAACUUUAAAUAAAAGAAUGUUCAUCAAUUAGCUUUUAAAGUAUUGAUAAGUGUUAAAAGUAAUAUAUUUUAACCUCAUUCUUAAUGUGUUUUUGGGUGAUAAUUAGAUGUUAAUUGUGAAUUUUAUACUCCAAAUCCUUUAAAUUCAUGUUUUGAUGCCUAAUAGAGCAUUUGGGAGCAAAAUGAGCAAAAAACGAGUAAAAACCGAAAAAUCAAAGCAAGUUAUAGGACCUAUACGGGCUGACCCAUUCCACAUGACCAUGUGACCCACAUGAGCUACCAUACGAGCGUGUGGUAGGUCGUGUCGAUUGCGCAGAUUUGCAUUCUGAAUAGCAAAAAAUCACGUUUGAUUUUUUUUACGCAAUAAAUAAUUAUUUUUUAUUCUUAAUUAUGUGUGCUUAAUUUAUUGGUUUAAUAUUUCUAAACUAUUGAUUCAUAUUUGAUGUACUUAAAUCAGAGGUUAAAUAAACCAUAUGUAAGAGUAAAUUUUGCUUAAUUGAGUGGAGUUGCAUGUAAUCCCAAAAAUAUGAUGACAUAAAUCUAUUGGAUUAGAGUCAAAUCUAAUUGGGGAAUCCAUAGCCCGAGUUAAUGUGAUAAUAAGAGUUUUAAUUAAAAAGAAAAUUCAAUUAAUCAACCUAGAGUCAGUUGCUCAUAUUCUCGAAAGAGAUAUUAGCAUAAUUAGGGGUUUCCAUGGAUCAUGUCACUAAAUAAAGAAAUUGCGUAAUUUAGAUUGAUAGUGACAGAUGAAAUCUAGGUGAAUUAUUUCAUGAGUAUUGUUUCGCUUAUUAGUUAUUAAUCGUUUAUUCGCUUCUUUUGUUCUUUGCUAUGUUCAUUAGUUAAUUAAAUUUAGUUUUUAGAUCAAUCACUCGAAUUAUUCUGUUAAAUAAUAAAAAUAAUAAUAAUUAUUAGUACUUUUAAUCUUCGUAGGAACGAUAUCUUUAUUCAUUAUAGCUAUAUAAUUAACUGAUAAAUAUAUUUACUUUAGCUAGUUCGGUGGACAUAAAGUAAUAGCAAUAAUUUGGAAUGAUUUUUUAUUAAAAUUUUAUAAAUAAAAAAUAAUAUUGAGAAAUCCAACUUAAGAAUUCAACACUAAUAUCACAUAAGAGAAAAGACAUAUGAUAUGAUAGGAAAGCAGGUUCAUGAAUGGCUUGUGGAUAAUUAUGAAAAGGCAAACAAAAGAGAGAAAAUGAUUACAAAUAAACAGCUGGCUGCCAGAAUCAUUUCAUUGUGAAAAAAAUAUGUUAUAACAUGUUAAAAUAAUGUUAAUUUAUAUUAUAAUUAUAAUUCUCAAAUAAUUUUGAGGUCCUAAAUGCCUAUAAAAUAAUGUUGUGGCAUGGCCCCAUGGAGGUCUUGUUUGGAAUGGAUGUAUGUAUCAGUAUAUCCCACCAACUUCAAGUCGGUUGGCACACAAUACACGAACAAAUCAUUCACAAUAUAGUAAAAUAAUAUAAUUGGUCCACCUUAAAAGUUUCCAUUAUCAUACAUACUCCUAUUUGAAUAUAUAUAUAUAUAUAUUACUCACGUAAGUUUGUCUUUAAAACACAAUUUCCUUAGUAUAAAAUAAUUAAAUUUUGAGUUUUUAAUUCAUUAAAUACUUCUUCUUCUAAAUUAACUUUCAUAAAAACAUAAAUUUGAACUUUCUUAAUAUAGAUCCCCACUUUUUUUUUUUACUUGAAAUCGGGAAAUUUCUACCGAGAUAAGUGCUAUUCAAGAACAAUUAAUUGAUUUAGAUUUGUGAAUUCUUAGAGAUUAUUUGGUGGUAGAAUGGAAAAAGUUUGGAGAAAGAAGAAAGGAUUUUUUGGUUUCGGUGCAUGGAAUUGGUUAAGCAUUUUAUUCGAACAGAUAUAGAAUUGGAAUGAAUGGUUUUAUGUCGUUUGGCUGUUCAGAUCUUACCUGUUAUAGAGAGGUGGUUGUUAUACACCUAUAACAACAUGUUGUUAUAGAGAGAUAAUAAGCUUACCAUAAAAUUUGUAUUGUGAAUUUUCAUUAAAUAAAGAAAAUGAGAAUUAUAUUCAAAAAAGAAAGAAAAUAGGAAUCAAAUAAAUAAAAUUAAAAGACAUAUAAUAAGUUUAUGUAUUAUUAUUUUUAUGCAUAUUUUAUUUUACAUUAUUUCACAUGAUUAAUUAUAAAGUCCAUAAAUCUAAUAAGUUCAAUUAAUCAAUGAGUUAUCAAAUUAAAUUAAUUAAUUAAUUAAUUAAUAAUCAUUGUUAACCAAUGAGGUAAACAAGAGGAAGAAGAAGAUGAUUGAACGAGGAAGAAUGACGUGAAGGUUGGGGAGUGAUUUUAGUUUUGAAGAUAGUUAGGGGAUUGGGAAGGAGUGUGUACGUGAAUCUGUAUGACUUGUUUGCAUGCCCCUUUUAUAGUGGGGAAUAAGCUUGGAUACAUGUCUUGAGGUUACUGACAUGGAAAUUUGAUUUGAUACCCUUGGCAGUGAUAAUGAUACUACGUCCUAGAAUCACGUCCUAAGAUGAGAUGUUAUAGGGCGACUAGCAAUUAAUUACUUUGGGCCUCCACGUGCCCCCACAUAGUCUUAGCGGAGUUGUUCCUUUCUAAAGUUCAUCGAGUUGAUGUUCGUGAACCAACCCCAAGUUCGUAAUGUAGUUGGUUCCAUUGAGAGAUACGCGUUCAGCUCUCUAUGGAUGCACUUUGAGGUUCGUAAAGUACAUUGUAAGGUCUGGGAGGACCACUAGACAAGGUAUAACAAUCAUGAAUUACUAAAUUCAAGUAAUCAAUUUAUAACUUUAUGAUAUUUUAAAUUCAUAGCAAAAUAUUUAAUUAGGGAGCUUAAUAGUUCAUGGAAUUGAUAUAUUUAAUUUCACUCAGUGAAGAUUAUUUUCAUUUAAUAAAACAUGAUUAAUAAAUUUCUUCAAGUGAAAAUUAAUCAUUUUGUUGAAAUAAUAUUUUAAUUAAGAUAAUUUUCAUUUAAUAAAUGAUAAUUAAUAGGCUUGCUUAUAUGAAAGAGCUAUAAUCUUACUUAAAAUUUAGAUAAUAUGUUGUUAUAGAGAACUAAUUUAAUAAAGAACGUACUUCAUAAUUAUAGAUGUUACAAUUAUAAGUGAAAAAUUAUUAUAGAAAUUUAAAAUAGAAUAUUAAAAAUCGAUUCUUCUAAAAAUUUAACUAUUAUAAUAGAAUGUUGUUAUAACGAGUGAUUGUUAUAGAAAAAAUUAAUGCAUCACCUUAACAAAAUAGAUAAAUUUAAACUCUGACAAUUAUGAAUGAAGCAUAUUAAUUUUAUUUUCUCCUCUUAAUAUCUAAUCUAAGGUUUUGGUUUAACUUGCAUAUUUCAAUGAAUUAAUGAAUUUUGUUCAUCUAUCACAUACGCGUGUGAAAACUAUAUAUUUAGAAUACAUAUAAUAGAUUAAAAAUAAUGAAAUAUAAAUAUUGAAAUUAAUUAACAAUAACACAUAAAAUAUGUACGAUAUUAAAAUAAAAAAUCACAUAUUAAAUUGUGAGUAAAAUAAAAUUUAAAGACAUAAAUACAUCAUAUUAAAAGCACUAAAUACACUCCAAUUGCUUAUUAUGGUGUUGUCAUCAAUCUAGAGUUAGUGUUGAAUUCACUUAUGACACCAACUCAAUCAGCAACAUUAUUAAUACUAGAAAUUUUAUCACACAUAAGCGUGUGGAAAUCACAUAUUUAGAAUACAUAUAUGUGUUUGAAAAUAACAUGUAAUAAAUAAUAAAAGAUAUUGUUUGAAACUAAUAAUAAGACACAUGCAAUAUGUACGAAAUUAAAAUGAAAAAAUAUAGUUUAAAUUGUAAUUUUAAAAAAGCCAUUUCCUAUAACAUGUCAAAAAGUUAUUGAAAGAAAAUUCAAAUUAUGGCACACCCACAAUAUUUGUGAAAAAUUAAAUUAUGUAUCAAAUAUAUUUGUAAAAAAUGUAUAUAAAUAAUAAAUAAUGCUUUAGUUGAAUGGUAAAGUAUAAAUGAGAAAAAUUAAAGAGACAUGAGUUUAAAUCUUAUUUUAUAUACACAUGCGCGCGCGCACACACAUAUAUAUAUUUGCAUUUUUCUAUUUUUAUAUAAAAUAAAUAAAAUGAUAGAAAUGCCUUCAAAAUAAUACAAUUUAUUUCAUAUAGUCAGGGUAUUUUAAUCUUUUUCGAACUGAGUUGGUAUCUGAUUAACCCGUGACACCAACUCAAUAAGGAGCCUUAAGUAUAGAUAUACAAUUGGUGGAGGUAAUAUAGCUGUGCAUAAUAAAAUUAAAAUUUAAAAAGAUAAAAUAAAUCUUUAGUUGAGUGGUAAUUUAAGCUUUUAUUAAUACCAUCAACUUGGGUUCAAGUCCCACUGAUUGUAUUUAUUAUUCUUUUUAAAUAAAAAGAUAAAAGUACCCUCGAAAAAUAAAAUUUAUUUUCAAGUAUUAAAGAACAUUAUGAUAAUUUUCCUAAUUGAGUCGGUACUUAAUUGACUUAUGGAAUUAAUUUAAUCAAGUACUUAAAUAAUUUUUUUGUCCCAUUUUGAUACCUCAUUCAUUAUAAUUUUUGGUCCAAAAUAUUAAUGGUAUUAAAAAAAUUGUCAAACCAACCAAUGCGCUACAUGUUUGACAUUUUCACGUGUCAUUAAUUAUGUGACCAAUUAUCGAUGAUGUGGUCGUUAAUCAUUGAUCGUAUCGAACAACUGUUUGCUAAACAUUGGUUGGCAUGUAAAAGAAGGUCACAUAUACCAUUAAUUUUUUGGACCAAAAUUUAUAACAAAACAAUAGUUUAGGUAUUAAAAUAGGAAAAAAUAUUUACGCAAUAAAAUAAGAAAAGCAGAACGGUGUGGGGGCUAACUCGUGACCUAAACUUAAAAAAAUGCAUAAUUUUGAUAUAGCAUACAUUGCUCUUAUCAUCCCAAUUUAUCAUAAUUUAUUUUUAUGCACUAAAAUGUAAAAUUAUUAUCCCUUUUUCACUUUUAUCUUACUUUUUAUUACAAUACCAAUUUUAAAAAUACACAUUCAACCUCGUUUAUUUAUUGCCUUUUGACACAGUAAAUUUCCAGAGCAAGGGAAGACAUAAUCGUAGGAUAGAAGUUGCAAAGUUUGGCAUUCUGAUCUCAAUUUUUUUAAAUAAUAACAUGAAUAAACUAAUGAUAGAUUGAUUUAUUUGUUCUCUUUUUUAUUUUUAUUUAAUCUGUUUUUUUUUUCACCAAUUUGUAUUAAUUUAAUAAUUUUGAUUUGUCUUAAAAGUGAUAAGUAUCGAAUUGAAUAUAUGUGAAAAUAUGACAUAGUAUUAUAAAUGUGAUUAAUAUCAUUAUGUGUAAUGCUAUUAUAUUGGAGAAUUGAUUAUUGGUUGAUGAAAUUGUGUAAUGAAACUGAGAAAUUGUUACCCUAUUAACUGUUCGGGUAGAGUCGGAUAUAGUUGGCAUGCCAUAGGAUAGGAAGAGUUCAGGGUUACUUCGACUACGUGUCGAUGAGGCACUGGGUGCCAAAUUACUUCGGUUGUACCGAUGAGGCACUGAGUGUCAAACACAUUGAUGAGCGUUGGGCGCAAACUAUUUACUUCGACAUUGUCCGAUGAGGCACUGGGUGUCAAACUGGUUUGAUUGGUUGGAUCCGUAUAUAUGUCCGAGUCCGAUUUAGAUUAAUAGGGGUAUAAAAUAAAAUUUGAUAAAUGAUAUUUGAAUUGGGUUAAUAUUAUGUUUUGAUGAUUUGUAUACAUAUUGUGAUUAACGGAUAUCGAUGACACGUAAAAAAUCAUACGAACCAGUUAUGCGCCUGAUGAGCCGAUAUAAAAAUGUGAUGAAUCAAUAAGUUCAAUUCAAAAUUUAAAUAAGGAAAUGAAAUAGUAAUUGUCAUUAAACUUAAAUUGGAUAUAUAAUUGAUAAAUAGAUGGAAUGACAUAAUAUUAUAAGAAUGAUGUUCAUAUGGUUAAAUGUUGAAUUGAUUUUGAGAAUGGUAUUGAAAUGUGAUUUUAGGUGAGGUUUAUUUCAUAUUGAAAUGUUAUAUGAUGAGUUUAAAUGUUAACUCAGCUUGUUGAUUUAUGAUUGUCAUGUACUUAGGUAAAAUUGUCAAGUUGAAUAACUUGUUGUGUUAAAUCGUAAAAUAAGGUAAGAUGUUUAAAUACCAGUGAACUUACUAAGCAUUUGUAAUGUUUACCUUCCACUUGUUUCCUUUUCCCUGUAAAUUGCCAACUUAAGGAACGUGUCAAGUGGAUCUUUGAGAAACUCACAUUAUCAUGUUGUUGAUUCGGUAUCUUUUAAUCGUUUAAAGUUUAAUUUUGUGGCAUGUAUAUAGGUAAUUUGUUUUGAUCAAUCUUGAAUGUUGGCACUUUUUGGUUCUUGAAUGUGAUUGGUAUUUUGAAUGGUUAUAUGUUAUAUACAUAGGUGUAAGGGUUGGUAAUGUGAUGCUCGAGUAUAAGCAUAAUAUGUAUAGAUGUUAUCUGGGAGUGAUAGUGUUUUGGGAACCUUAAAUAAUGUUAAACUUAAUUGGCAAAUAGGUUGUGUACUAAAAUGUGCACUUUGACAUUUUUGUCAAGUUAUGGUAGAAUCUUAAAUGGCGUUUGUUGAGGUUGAAAUGUUAAGAUGUUUGGCGUGCCUUAUUGAAUGAUUGAUGAAUACAUAUGCUAUUAAGCUUACCAAAGUGUUCAUUACAUGUGAAAUAACUUGUACGGUUUUGUAGUUAACAAAAUGGAUGAAUUAGGAUGUGUUUAGAAUAAUUUUAUGCGGAUUUGAAUUGGCCAAAUGUGCACCAUUUUAGCCUUUAGUUUGUUUUGAUCAUAUUUAUUCUUUUUACUAUAAUGUUUAAAAUUAUUCAUAGUCUCUUCCGAACUCAUAAAUAAAAAAAUUAACUAUUUUCAAUCUAACUAUCGUCAAUCUAAGACGAAUUUCAUAUUUUGUCGUUUUAGUAUCUUACGUAAAGAGAACGAAAGAAAAGUUCAACAACCGGAACUUAGACCUGGCAGUCUACACGUCUUCAUUUAAUAUUCGAAAUAGAAUAUUAUUAUUGAGCUUAUAUUACAUGUUACAAUAUAUGUAGAAUGAAACAAAAGAAUACUACUAAGGAAACAAAUUAAAUUAAAAUCCCUGUUAAGGAGCAGUGCAUUCUUUAGGAAGUCCCUGAGGGAAUCGCUUGGUGUCAGUGCAGUAAUUGUAAAUCAUGUAAUUUUUCUGAACCCAUUUCAGCCUUUCUUGGCUCGUUAUAUCCAGUUCUUGCGAUAGCCAUGCAUUUUGAGAGGGUGAGGUGGAGGAACAUGAUGAUUUCCCGGAAGACCACACACAUGCAUCAGCCUUGUAAUUCCUGUAAGCAGCAGUGAAAGGAGCUUGGCUCCAAUCUGUCUUAACAAGACCACCUCGAGUGGCCCAAUCAUCGGCGUUCCAAAGACUCGAAUACACUCUCAUCGGCUGGCUCUUUGGGAACGCAACGCCCAUCGAUUCCAAGUUCUUGAACUCUCUGAUCGGAGUCCCAUCAACAGAGAAGCUGUGAACAUUCAAAAGAAUCACAAUUAAACAUAAUGAAAAUAAUCGAAACUGUAAAAUUGAAUAGGAGGGGGGGGGGGUUGUAAAAGAAGACAUACAUAAUACGUUGAGGGUUCCAAAGAAGGGAGUAGGUGUGGAAGUCUUUGGUGGGAUCGAACCAAAGGUAGAACUGUUGCUCUUUGUCACCUUUGCCUUGUGUAUAUACAUUGGUGUGGACUAUGUAUGGGUCUCCGCUUAGGUUCCCCAAGAACUCGAAGUCGAUUUCAUCCCAUGUCGACCCUUCCGAACGAAGCUGCAAUUGUCACCCCACAUAUCAGCACAGAGUUGUAAAAUAAAUAAGAGACAAGUAUGAUGAUACAACGUACAUAGUAAGUGGUAACAGUGCCAGCAGAGUUGCCUGGGACCAGCUUAAUGUUCAUAUCAAUCUUCCCAAACAGAUAUUGGUUCUUGGAUUGAAAACCAGAGCCGGAGAAUUUGUCGAGGGUGAGAGUGAGAAGGUUUCCGUUUUCUAGAAUCUUGCCCCUCCCAUCUCCCCAAGUAACGUCGAUGUCUUGGUUAAAGUUGGCGGCUGAAGCAACCAUUACAAAGCUGAUUAAGGCAGAUAGUAGCAGCAAUGAAGUCCUCAUUUUUUUUGGUAGGUUUGUAUUAUGAUGUUAGGAAAUGGGGGAGUGAUAGAGGGUGGUUAUAUAGGGGAGGUGGAUUUGGUGAGAAAGAUGAGAAGAGAGAAGCUUCGUGGUAUGUGUUACCGUCGGGACAUUGAGUGAAUCAAAGUUGUAAACAGCUGGAAACAUAAAGAGAAAGAAAGAAAAGAAAAAGGUCCAAAUCAAUAAUACUGAGGGGUGUUGCUUGGAAGUUGGUACCAAUAUGCAUGUAUAAUUUAUGGAUUUGGUGCCGCCUUUCCAUGUCUGGUUACUGUGCAUUUGCAUGUCAGGAAUUGAACCGGCAGUUGAAGCAGUAAAACUUUGAUUCAGAGUUUCAACUUUAUCAUUAUAUCCAUCAGUGUAAUAAACAUAUCACAAUCAAAACACACUGUAAUACACUCACCAAUCCCAAACGCGGUUGGGGUUUGGAGGCCAGAACCCAACUGUUUAUACGCAGGCUUAUACGUUGUGCAAUUUGAGUGAACCACAAGAUUUCAUUAGCCUAAAACCAGUGUUAAUUAAUGUGAGUCAUUGUCAUAUUGGCUGACUAAUUUUUGGGGACCAAACCAGAACUCAACCACUGGGCUCAUCACGUUAAUCAAAACAACUAUUAAUUAUUAAUUAUUAAUUAAAUCCAUUACAAAAAAUGCCUGACCAUAACUAUUUUCUUUUCAUUUAUUAUCUAGACUGAAAUUUGAAUCCUUAAUUCAAAAAAGUAAAAUCCAUUGGUGAAUUACUUUGUGUUUGAUUAUUUCAAGGAUUUCCGUAAUGAAAAAAAUCUUAACUUUUGAACAAUUCAAUUGUUCUAGAAAUAUCUUAAAAAGUCAAGUAAUAAUAUACAUUCUAAAAAAAACUAAAAUUGAUAAAUCAAUAAUCUAUUAAAUAUUAAAUUUAGGUGUUAUUUGAUAAAUUAAAAAAAAUUAAAUGUUCAAAAAUUAAGUAUUGAGUUUAAGUUAUAAAAUUUGUUUGAUAUAUUACUUAAAAUUAGUUACGGAAUAUAAUUAGAUUGUUUGAUAAAUAUAGAUUUUAAAUUAUAAAAAAUUAUAUUCUACAUUUUAUCUUUAAUUUUUAAACAUUUCACCUUAUUCUAAACAAAAAUUAAAAUUUUAAACGUAAAAUUUUUAUAAAAAAAUAUAACAUUACAAAAAACUAAAAUUGAAAUAAUUGAAAAUAUUUUCAAUUAAGUGAUAAAUAAUUUUUAUCUACUUAUUAUUUUUCACAUUUUUUUAUAAGGAAUUCUAACAUAUUGCCUUAAUUUUCAACUGUUUAUCAAAGGUCUUAGUCAUGAUUUAAUUAAAAUUUACCAUUGUAUUGUGCCCUCUUCUUUUCAUAGAAAAAGCCUAGCUAUUCAACUUUUUCAAAUUAAAUCUUUGCUCUGUCGGCAGCGGCGCUGGCCUUCAAGCUUGUUGCUAAUCACAAUUCCUCUUAACAAUUUUUGUAGUUUGAUUUUGUUUUUAAUUUCAAUCUACAUUAUUGUGGUUUUGUCUGCAGUUUUGUGGUUUUAUUUUGUCCACAUUUUUCAUGGUUUUUGUUUUCUCCACUUUGUUUUCUUUGAAAAUAGUGGUGGUUUUAUUUUUACAUUUAAUUUUUUAGUCAUGUUCUAACAAGUAUGUGAGAUAUUGUAACACCCCCAACCCGUAUCCGUCGCCGGAACCGGGUUACGGAGCAUUACCGGACAUAUCGAAUAACUUAUCACUAAUUCACAAAUAAAUAACAUACAUAGCAUACUUUAAUCAAUACAUUACCUAGAUUUUAGAUACAUGCCACAAUAUCAAAAGAAAGGCACAUCACUAAAAUUCACUAAUUCAAAAAUAUUUUUAAAAUCACGCUUAACUUAUAAUUAUUAAUUAAUAAAUUUUUCUAACUUUUUCAUCGAAUUUAGUGAUCUCAAAUCACUAUUCUGACACUACUGAAAAUUGGGCUGUUACAACUCUUCCCCCACUUAAAAAAUUUCGUCCUCGAAAUUUCUCACCUGAUACAAGCUAUUAAGUCAAAUCUUUCUUCCACCUUUUUAAUCGAAGUCCAUAAAAUUAAUCAUAACUCAUAUCACUUCCGAACUCAUAUCAAAACUCAUUUUAGAAGUUGAUACUAUGACUGAACUUAACUGAGUAGCUCUGAUGUCUCCUGUCAUCACUUUCUCACUAGUAGUAUAACUAUCGAGAAUUUCCAGUAAUCGUCAAUCGAAACAUAACUGAGAAACCCAUAUUAUUAAACUUUGACUGAUAUUUUGACGUGGUUGCAUCUGUAACUUUCAACUGAUAUUUGUUUCUUUUCUUUUUUCCAUGAAAGUGUCAAGUAAUAUCAUUUUACACAACUGCAAUAACUUCAACAAGCAGGACAACUUUAACCCAUAAUAAUAUUUCCCGAUUAAAACUAACCUGAUAGAUAUAUUUUUCUAUCAAGUCUUCUAGAAUCUGAAUUUUUCAUUCUGAUUGUCCUUCUAUUUACCCAUGAAUACACAAAAUUUAUUCCCGGUCCUGAGAAUAUACUCAAAUGCAUAACAACCAGUUGCCUACGGAUUAUCCUUCAUCCUUUAUCCAGCAGAGCCAUCUCUUGCAAUCUAUGAACCUGAACCAUCUUAUCUAAUACCUUCGAACGAAGACCUUGAAAACCCAUCCAGCCAGAAAAAAAUAGAUAAUUUAAACCCAUUGUGAAGACCCAAAAUGUACUGAUUCCAUAACUGAUUAUAACUCAAUUAACUUUUCAAUGAAUAACCCACUCUGAUUAGAACAACUGAGUCGAUUUUAUCUAUCAGAUAAUAAUAUUUUAGAAUAAUCCAUUCUUCUUGUUGUCAAAACAAUCCAGAUAUACCAUAUAUCAUAAUUCUCUCGGAAUAUCAACCGAAAUUUACCACAAACUGCAUUAACUCAAACGAAUUAUGACAUCUCAUUAUUGACUUGCUGACAUAAUUCAGGAUUACCUGAGAAAUAAAAACCAAUGUACAAAUUUGAGCUCAAUCUUCCACCAUCUACUCUUUUUUCGAUGUCAACCCUUUCAUGAAAACUGGAAAAGAAUUAUAUAUAAUAAACCUAUUUCAAUUAUAAUCACCGAAGCUUUGAACUAUACCGAAGCCACAACCAUCAGAUAGAUUAAAAACUAUAGAGCAAUAAUAGGACCGGCGUUCCAACUGUAUAGAUAGAACAAUACCUCAACAUCAAUAGUGAACUCCAAAAUAGAUGAAGAAAAUCGAAAGUAGUCCCAUUAACAACCAGUGCAGUAAUACAACUUCUAUAAUAUGAUAUCCAUAUCACCGAGCUACCAUGAUCGAACCAAAAUUAAUAACAGUAACAAAUAUAACUACCUCCGGCCAAUGAAUAACUUUUAUAGAUGAACCAUGUUUAAUAAAUAAGAUUAGACCAUAAGAAUGAUAAGAAAACCGAGAUAAUAAAAUCCAAGAUGUGAAGCUAUACUGAAUUUUCGAGAAUAAAAAUCACAUUGAAUGAUAAAGAGAUCGAUGAUAUCCUAGAGAAAAUCCAGAAGAAGAAUAUCGCUCGUAUGCACUAAAAAUAGUUGUGAUAAAGACAAUAUAAAUUCCAUAUAUGUAAUUCGGAAAAUUCAGCCAGUAGAAAUAGAAAAUAACUUCAUAUGAUUCUUAUCAUCAAGUCUUCUAUCAAACAUAAUAGAUUAGAAAACCAAAGAAAGAUAGAACAAUGCCGAUCAUAAAUCAACCAGACUAACAAUACUUCCAGCUAACAUUAUGUUUAACCAAACUUUCUAUAUGAUAAGAAUCACAUCUGAAAAUGAACAGUUGAAUAUACCUCUAAGGAUAAAAGAACAUAUAGAAUACCCAGAAGAGAUCGUUGUAACAUACCCGACUAUAACAGUUGCAUUCAGAUAUCUUUGCAAUUUCAACACUAUCCCACUAACUACUAAAGUCAUCAAUAAUCUUACAUUAUCCCAAUUACUAAAGAAAUCAAUUCAGAAGAAAUUCUGAUUAACCCGUUCUUUAAAUUCUAUACCUGAAUAAAUCGAUUACUCGUGAAUAACUUUUUCCUUAAAAAUGACAUUGCGUAUCCUGAAUUAUCUUUGGAAAAAAAAUAUGAUAUCUUUUCUAGAAUUCUCUUUAAUUGCUAUCCCAUCCUUAACUCUGACCGCAUUAUUAUUCAUUCAAUUAUUGAACUCUCUUCGGUUUCACACUUGUAAACUUAAUGAAUAUAAUUCUUGUAAAUUCCAUUGUACAGGUGAGGGGGUGAAGGUUGCAAAGCCUCAAAAUUUAACUCUCAUAUAUACACAAGUAAAACAUAACAUUUAUCAUUAACUCAUUAUAAUCAUUCGGCAUUUUCAACUAUAAAACAAAAACAAAUAUAUCAGCAUCCAAAUCCCGACUCAAUUCGACUCAAUUAUGGCAUGUACCUCUAGACUCAAUUUUGAGCUCGAUUAAUUCGAGAAUCGGCUAAACCUGAAUAGCUCUGAUACCACUAAAUGUAACACCCCCAACCCGUAUCCGUUGCCGGAACCGGGUUACGGAGCAUUACCGGACAUAUCGGAUAACUUAUCACUAAUUCACAAAUAAAUAACAUACAUAGCAUACUUUAAUCAAUACAUUACCUAGAUAUUAGAUACAUGCCACAAUAUCAAAAGAAAGGCACAUCACUAAAAUUCACUAAUUCAAAAAUAUUUUUAAAAUCACGCUUAACUUGUAAUUAUUAAUUAAUAAUUUUUUCUAACUUUUUCAUCGAAUUUAGUGAUCUCAAAUCACUGUUCUGACACUACUAAAAAUUGGGCUGUUACAGAUAUAUUAGUAUAAGUAUCGCUAGAUCUAUUAGGAACUAUUCUCGAAAGGUUUUAUCAUGAUAGAUCAUAAUGAUGGUGAUAUAUUUGAGAUGAUAAGCAGAAGAAUAGAUUGUUUGAAACUUGGUUUUUUGUGCAUCAUUGAUGCAGUAGGGGCUUUGGGUUUUUUUUUUAAUUGGUGUUCAUCAUCAAGUUGAUUUGAUGAUGGAAAGGUUAGGAUACAAAGUUUUAGUAAUUUGAUCAAAUUGAUGCAUCUUUGGUUUGUUUUGAAUUAUUUUAAUGUUGCAAUUACUAUAAAUGUAUCCUUCUCUUUUUUUUUUAAGAUUAUUUUGCAGACAUGGCAUUUAUGCAUUAGUUUGUAGUGAUUUAUUUAUCGUUUGUACUAUGUACAUGUUUUUGUAUUAUUGUUGUUCAUGCUUCUUAUUAAUAAUAAUAAUUUUUUUAAAUCUUUAAAAGAAUUGCAUAGCAUUUUUUUCGAGUAAAACUAGGUAUCAAAAAAAUUAAUUGUAAUACCCCAUACUCGGCCAAAUUUCUAGGUCCGAGUUACAAGGUAUCACACUCGUUGCUGGAGCAACUACGAUCAAAUCACAAUUCGAUUCACAAUAUUAAACAUUUAAUUAUAAGUAAAACAAUCAUUUUUAGGUCUUAUAUGAGCUUAUGAAAACUCUAUUUGCUAGCCUGAGAUCGGAUUAUGGCCAAAUUAGAACAAAUUCAAAACUUCAAGUUGACGUCGUGACGUUAGGGAGUUCCUCGUAGCGAUGCAACAUACUGUCUAGCCUCAUCGCAACGACCAAAGCCCAGCGUCACACUGUGACAUGGUAUCCAGGUCUCGUCGUAACGACUACCGUUCAAUGUCGCGACGUGACAUUCUGUUUUCAAAAGAAUAAAUUUUGGUACCUAUUUGUAAACACAUAAAACCUUUUAAGUUUACCUGCAUACAUAAUUUUCUACCAAAUCCACAUACUUGGUGGUAUUCCAUUAUGCCUAAAGAACAUUUAUACAUACAUGUUAUCAUCAUUUUAACAAUUUCAUUUGAUUAUACAACCAAUUCAUUCAAGUCUUUCAUAUAACUAGUUGACACUUAUAAACAUAAGUAUAUGAACAUAAAACCAAUUAGACUAUUAUCAUACCACGAAACAUGCCUAAUUAUAAGUUACAAAUUUCCAAUUCCAUGUAUUUAGCAUAUAACCAAAUUAGAAUACCAAUUUUGACUCAACCUAGGUACAUGUUGUAUAACUAACAAAAGAAACUAGACAAACAUUGUUAAGUCGAAGGUCAUUGUCCAAAUGCUGAAGUUGAUCCUCGCAACCUCGUUAUAAACCUAACCUACGCACGGAAAACAAAAUCUUACGCUGAGCAAUAAAGCCCAGUGGUAUUUCCAUAAUCGAAAUCAAUUUAAUACAAAUUUUAAAUCAAAUGUAUACAAUUAAUUUCCAAUUCAAUACCAACUAACUUACGAAUAACUCAUGCUAUUCUUUAAUACAUAUAUCACUAUACAUAUGCUACAAGAUGCAUUAUUGAUGCCAAAAGAACCAACUAACAUACUACCUCAAUUAACAACUAGUUAACAUAUCAUAGCAAUAUACUUUACAUUCACAUUACUUUUCAAUCUAUUACAUUCAAUCAAGUCUGUAUAUAAUUUCCGAAUUGAAAUUAAAUCUACCAUUAUCAUUCCAUAUCGGCCCUUAGGCUCAUUCAACCGAUUCACAUGAUCUUUUACAUGCUAUAAAUAAAUAUCUAACACAAAUAUGUACUUGUAAUACAAUUUCAUAAUGUUAAAAUUCAUUUUCAAAUAUCAAUUAACUAUUUUUCAAAUUAUAUUCCCUAUUAACAUGACUCAGAUUUCAAGACGAAUACAUAAAUUGGUCAACUUGCAUCUCAAUUUGGCACCGUAGUGCAUCAUUGGAUAUAUCGAAGAAAAGAUAUUGGGACAUAUAGUGCAUCACUGAGCAAGCCAAAGUAAUUAUACUAGCACACGAUAUGCAUCAUCGUACAAACUGAAAUAAUUAUACUGGCAUGCAUAGUGCAUCUUCGGAUGUAUCGAAGCAAUCAUCGGAUGUACCGAAAUAAAUAUACUAGAACGUAAGUGCAUCAUUGGAUAUACCGAAGAAAUUAUACUGGUACGCAAGUGCAUCAUUGGCUAAACCGAAAUAUAACCUGUACAUUAAUAGAGUAGCCAAUUUUUCAUUUCAUCACAUAGUUCAAUUUACAUCCCGUCAUUCUCAAUUCAAUAUCAAUUCAUCAUAUAAUAUAUCAUAAUUCAACUCAGUUUCAUACUAAUUUACUAUACUGGUUGAGUCAUACAACUUUCUAUUCUAUUCAAUUUAAUCAUUGUCUCGAUAUUCAAUUUCAGCCAUAACAUUUCAACUAAAUAACCAUUAACAACUCACAUCAACAUUAUAUAAUGCAAAAUGUCAUGAAUAUACAAUAAUUAAAUUGAUCUCGGGUCAUAAAGAUACAAACUGAAAGUUCACGUCUCAUAGUCGGUUCUCGUCUUUCCUUUCCCUCUCGACGUUCCCUGCGUCAUCUUUAGCUACAAAUAAUAAUACAAUAUCAAAUUCCAGCUAAAUCAAAAUUGAAUAUCAACUUUUACAAAAUUUUCAAAUUAUUCAAUUUAGCCCCUAAAACUAAGACAAGCAUAACUUUCAAUUUAGGGCUUCGAAUAAAAAUUUAGUUUCACCAAUAGGGACCCUUUAUUUUCUAUUCCUAACAACAAUUCAUGAUAUUAUUUAUUUAUUUAAUUUGGUCCCUAAUGUACAAAGUUAUCAAUUAAACUUUACAAUUUAGUCAUUUUCUUGAAUUAAGUUUAAUUUCUAUCAAUUUAACACCUAAAUCAUUCAAUUAUCAACAAUGACAUCUCAUUAAAACUCCACUAAUUGAUCAAAUUGAUCUUUGGGUUAGCUUAAUCAAGAUUCCAAGAUAAAAAAAAAAUCUAUAAAAAUCAAAGAAAAAUGAUUAAGGACUUAUUUGAAUUUAAGAACCAAAAGUUUCAAAGUUUGAAAAUGCAUUGAGCUUUCUAUUUUUUUUCUUAGCAAUCGGUUGGAGGAGAUGAAAUUAUCUCUCCUUCCACUGAAAAGGUUCUUUUUUAUAGUUGAAUUAAGAUUAAAUUAAUCAUAUGUUAAUUAUAUUUAACCUUAUUUUGCUUAAUUAAACUAAUGUCCUCAUACCUUCCACUAACCCUUAUUUAAAUAUGGUCUAAUUGCUAUUUUGCACCUUUGAUUAAUUUCUAUUUAAAUCCCCAAGGCUUAAUCUAAUUAAAAAUAUAUAGUGAUUAAAAUUUUACAAAUUAGUCUUUAGGCCUUAAUUAACCAUAAUUUCGGUUAAAUUGACUAUCCAAAUUUUAAUUCAUCAAUACAUUUACUCUAUAAAUACCCUUAUUAAAUAUUUACAGACUCAGUUUACAAGAACAAGUUUUGAAACCAUAAAAUUCCAACGCCACUGACUUUUGGGCCAUUACAUUAAUGGUUAAUGUUUUCUUAUUGUAAAUACUCGGUUUUGACUACUAUCAUUUUUAUAUUUUCCUUGACAUAAAUAAUACUAUAUUUCAAGAAAUUGUGUACUAAGCAUGGAACAACUAGCAUCGACGCUUCACUUAAUAUCUCUUCCGGAGCAACAACUCUUGUUUAGAAUAGCUGUUGUUCAGAACAACUAUUAUCCAAGAGUAGCUGUCCAAAAUAUCUAUGUUUAGAAUAGGACUUUAGUUAGAGUAGCUAUUAUCCAAUGUUGUUGUUAUUUGAGAACAACUAAAGUUUGGAAUAACUCUUGUUUAGAAUAAUGACGUUUCUGGAAUAGUUAUGUUUAGAACAACCAUUGUUUGGAACAGCUUGUAUUUAGAGCAAUUGUGCCUUUCAGAAGAGCUAUUAUUAAGAAUAAGCCCUAGCAAGAAAAAUAUCACCACAAAACAACUCGUGUUUGGAACAAGUAAAAAUUAACUAUUAGGAACAACUUUCACCAAAGAACAACCAUCGUCUUGUGUUUUCGCAUGUACUGCUUCACCAAAGUAGAAGAAGUGGAAGUAACCUAAUAUAGCAGGGUUCUUGGGUUAUCUUCACUCUUAGGAUGUUCUGGAGAGCUUGGCUUGAUGGAUUAAGUAUGGAGGUAGUUAAGAGGUUUCCUCUUAACCCUUUCCUCUAACAUUGAGUGUUUUCCCUUAUUUUAGAAAUAUGGUGAACUCUUCUUCACUUUUCAUUAUCACCAUCAUCAACAAAACCUUUCAUCAUCCUCUCUUAACCAUUAUUGUCAUUGUAACUGAACCUUAAUUUCAUUACUCAUAUUAAUUACCUAACUUUGUAACUCUCAUUUUCUAAAAUUUAUAAAUAUAAGCAAUUAGUAAAAUGACUUUUGGCACUUUGGAAUUUUGACUCUCGAAGCUCUCUCUAAAAUUUUCUUAACUUUUUUUCUUUACUUAACUUUAUUGUCAACCACAUUUCACUUUCUCCACCUUACCAACCACCACCUACCACUGCACUCAAUGUUACUGGCUUUGCUUCAAUUUCCCUCUCCACCUUCUUUCAGUACUUUCCAUUUACUUGUUUGGAAUGUUUCCUCUUUUUGUCAAAAGAACUCUCAACACUUAUUGUUGAGGAUAAACCCAGUUAAGCAACGAAUAAGUAAAAUAACGAAGAAAUUAAAAAGAUCAAACACAAAUAUUUUAAAUGAAAAAACUCCUUCGAAGAGGAUAAAAAACCACGAGCAAAGAUAAUUUCACUAACGAAAAAAUAUGAAGAGUACAAAAUAUGGAGAUAAAACUAAACCCCAAAACUCGAAAUAAGAACCAUCAAAACAUAAUCACAAAAUUGUCUAAAAGCUUGUAAAAACUAAUACCUAAACGUGUAGUGAAUUAUUUUUCUAAGGUGGAAAAAUGACCUAUUUAUAUGCUAAAUUUGUAGGUUAAAUAAUAUUAAAAUAACCUACAUUAAUUAGAGUUUAAGUGAAAAACUAAAAUUUUAACCGAUAGAAAAAACCCAAAAAAUGCUGAACAUAACUCCACACUUAUCAAUAAUUAUCAUUUCAUAAAAGAAAAUAAAUAUUAUAGAACUAACGUCUCAUGUAUUACAUAAACCAUCAGAGCCAAAAACUUGAAAAUACGAAGCAAAGAAAGCAAACAAGGAUCUCAAUCUCGUACAAGAGAUAUUCUCUAUUAGAGUAUAGAGAGUUGUUAGUUAGUUGUGAAUCUGGUAAAAGGUUGUUGCUUAAUAUGGAGCGGUUACUCAUGUCUAUAAAUACUGUACAUCUGUAUUCAGAGAGCAAGGAUUUUUGAAUAAACAAACAAAGAAGUUUAUUCUUCAUUUUCUAUUUCGUUCUCUGUUUGGCUAGAUAUUUCUUUCUAUUUUAUCUAGUUCUUUCAUGGUAUCAUUCGCCAGUUGAUUCUGGAUUCUUGCUUCCUAUGGCUUCCGUUGAUUCCGAAUCUGGUGAACCUAGCUCCGGUGUGUUUGCUGCCGAUCGUGUCACAAAUGUCUUUCCUCGGCAUGAAGUCGUCAAACUCGAUGAAGGUACUUAUAUUCAAUGGCGUAAACAGGUAAAACUGAUAGUUGAUGGCUAUGGACUUACAGGAUUCUUAGAUGGCACCAUUGCUCCUCCAUCACGAUUCAUUCUUCUAACCGUUGGCUCGCGUGCUCUAAACCCGGCGGCUCAGGUGUUCAAGCAGCAAGAUCGGUUUCUGACAUCCUGGCUUUUGUCGACUGUAAGCUCCUCUUAUCAAUCCUCCUUUGGUGAUGCUUGCACGGCGUAUGACAUAUGAAGUAUGGCCAUUAAUCUUUUUGCAGCUGAUACUAGCGCCAAGCAAUUGAGGAUUCGGCAUGAGCUUCACUCUUUGAAGAAAGGUAACCUUUCUAUUAAGGCUUAUGUUGCUCGGAUUAAAGAUUUAUGUGCUAUGUUUGAUGCUUCUGGUUCUCAUAUCUCUGAUGAAGAGAAGAUUGAAGUGGUGCUUGCGGGAUUACCGUCGAAAUUUGAGGCGGUCAUCUCUUCUGUUCGGUUGUCGACUGGAGUUCUGUCGUUAAAACGUGUGGUUGAUGCGUUGGUUGAUUGUGAGAAUCGUCAAGUUCAAGUGUUGCAGGAAGUCAAUUUGAACGCAAAUCUUGUUGAAAACGAGUCGUCGGUGGAAUAGGCCGGUCGUGGUGGUUGUAUACCUGUUCGUGGUCGUGGCAGAGUCUUCAGAUCUCAUGUUCAAUGCCAGAUCUGCAGUUGAUUCGGGCAUGUGGCUCAAAAAUGCUAUUAUCGUUAUCACCGAGACUCGAAUGAAUCGUCCGGUGUUGAAGGUUCUGGUUCUGGGGGGUUUGUGCACCAUGGUGAAGAUAAUUUUGUGGCUCCUCAUCAGAAGAGUCAAAGAAUUGUUUAUGGUCAAAGGAGUUAUGCUGGUCAAAAUAGAUAUGAUGGUCAAAAUGUGUGUGCUGGCAUGCAUAAUAGGCCAUUGGCACGUGGGCCACAGGUGUUUCAUGCUCAUCAUGAUUCUAGCCGAAUUUGUUCAGAUGCCUACAAGUCAAAUGUGUGCAAAUUUGGUCAUGAUGAUAGGCAAGGCUAUAAUGGUAACACGUCACAUGGGUUUAAUGCUGUAAAUAGACAAUGUGCAUCACAUGGGCCGAAUGUUCAACAUUCCUCACAUGGGCCAAAUGUUCAACAUUCCUCACAUGGGCCAAAUGUUCAAAAUGUUCACCUUAAUGCUGGGCCGAAUAUUGUACCAUCAUCUAAUUUCGUUCAAGUUGAUCAAGCUGAUCCCGGCUCUCCUAAACCAAUUUGUGAUGGACUAGGUUUUGGGGUCCAGUUUUUUUAUUUACCAAACCGUGCGCUCGAGUUUAUAUUGGGUUAGAACCGUGUAUUGGGCUUCCCCGGCUAGGGGACUUACAUGCAUCUGAUUAUUUUGAGUCAUCAGAAUCUGGCUCUCAUGUUCAUACUACUCAACUUGGGUCUAGUACUGAUGAUGAUGGUUCAUUCGUUACAGUGGGCGGUGGAACCACGUCUUGGUACCCUAACUCUAGGGCUAGUCAUAAUGUGUGUCGCGAUGUGUCAGCUUUACGUGAUGUCAUGCCAUAUUCAGGUACGUCAUCUCUUUUAAUGGGUGAUGGUACUCCUGCGGUAAUUUCAUCAAUUGGUACUGCUAUUUUAUUAACUCAGUCUAAGUUGUUACGAUUGUCAAAUAUUUUAUGUGUGCCGAGUAUACGGAAAAACCUCUUAUCUGUCUCACAGUUUACUCGUGAUAAUGGUGUGUUUUUUGAGUUUCAUCCUACUCAUUGUGUUCUUAAGGAUGCUAUGACUCAGGAGACAUUGCUGACGGGCUGCAUUCGUGAUGGAUUAUAUCAGUUUCUGUGCCGGUGGUUUCUCAUUCGUCUAAUGUUGAUCCGUUUGUUGCUCAUUCGCAAGUUCCACAUCCCUUUAAAAAUUGUUCUGUGUUUGCUUUAUGGCAUAAUCGUUUAGGCCACCCGUCUGCUUAUGUGGUCAAGACUAUUCUAAAUAAAUGUAAUAUUGUUUCAAGUAAAAAUGGUUUUGAUGGUGUAUGUACUGCAUGUCAAAAAGGGAGGUCACAUAAGUUGCCUUUUUCACCUUCGACUACUAGUUAUCAACUUUUUGAGUUAAUUGUCUCUGAUCUUUAGGGUCUCGCAUCUGUUGCAUGUGAUGAAAAGAGAUAUUAUGUUUCAUUUAUUGACAUGUGCACUAGGUUUACCUGGGUUUAUCUUCUACGUCAAAAAGCUCAGGCAAUAGAAUGUUUCAUUCAGUUUCAAAAGUUAAUUAAAACACAGUUUGGCAAGUCUAUUAAGCACUUUCAGAGUGAUUGGGAAGGAGAAUACCAUGGUUUUACGUCUGUUUUGGAAUCCCAAGGAAUUAUCCAUCGACUGACGUGUCUGUACACUUCUAAACAAAAUGGAGUGGCUGAGCCUAAACAUCGUCACAUUGUUGAAGUGGGUAUUACAUUAUUGGCUCAUGCGAAUUUGCCUAUGGAGUACUGGGGGUACGCGUUUUGUUGCGCAGUUCAUCUUAUCAAUUGACUUCCUACUGUCGUUCUUCAGGGCAAUUCUCUGUUUAAGGCACUUUAUGGCAAUGAUUCGACCUAUGAUCAUCUUCGAGUGUUUGGCUGCUGCUGCUAUCCUUAUUUACGUCCGUUUGUAGGUUAUAAGUUGGAUUUUCAGUCUCAGCCGUUUACAUUUUUGGGUUACAGUCCUCGUCACAAGGGGUAUCAGUGUCUUUUACCAGAUGGUAAGGUUAUUAUUUCAAGACAUGUAGUGUUUGAUGUGCAGAGAUUUUUGUUUGCUGAGUCUAGCCCUGAUAAGUCUAUGACGACGACCAGUCAGAUUAGUACGAAUGUUGUUCCCAUUGUGUAGCCUGUUUCUUCUUCUUCGUCGUCUCAUGUGCCUUGUGUGGUGUCACCAUCUCUCCAAGGGUUUCAGUCUCAGCCUAAUGUUCCUACAUCAGAUGUUGAAUUGGUGCAGUCUCAGUUUAAUGCUUCUUCGGCUGUUGUUGGGUCUGGGUCGGAUGCUCUUCCAGUUGUACAUGAGUCGGUUUCAUCAGGUGAUUUUAAUGCUCAUCCUCAGUCUAUCUCAAGAAUGUCUGAAGGUGUUUCUUCUUCGUCUGACAGUCAAGUUAGUAGGCCACCUGUGGGUAAUACUCACCCAAUGGUCACUCGAGCUAAAGCGGGAAUUUAGAAGCCUAAGGUUUUACAUGUUGAGGCUAACGAACCUUCUACAAUUGAAGAAGCUCUGGCUGCUGCUGAGUGGUGUGCUGCUGUGCAAGAUGAGUAUGAUGCUCUUAUGCGUAAUUCUACAUGGGAGCUAGUCUCCGCUCCGUCUAAUCAUAAGGUUAUUGGGUGCAAACGGUUGUUCAGAACCAAGAGGAAUUAUGAUGGUACAAUUGCUAGACAUAAGGCUCGAUUAGUCGCAAAAGGCUGCUCUUAGGUUCCAGGUUGUGAUUUUAAGGAAACUUUUAGCCCCGUGGUAAAACUGGCUACUAUCAGAGUUAUUUUGUCUAUUACUGUGUCUAGGGGGUGGUCCCUUCGGCAGGUGGAUGUGAAUAAUGCAUUUCUAAAUGGAGAUCUUGAUACUGAAGUCUUCAUGCAUCAACCUCCUGGCUAUGUCUAGUAUGGUUCUGAUGGCAGACCUCUGGUAUGUCGUUUGAAGAAAGCGUUGUAUGGUCUUCGUCAGGCUCCUCGUGCCUGGUUUGAGAAGCUUAAAUGAUUUCUAGUAUCUGUGGGGUUUGUGGUAUCGAAGUCUGAUGCUUCCUUAUUUGUUCGGGUCGUACCGGUUCAACGUUGUAUGUUUUUGUGUACGUUGAUGAUAUUAUUGUUACAGGUGAUGUGCCGUCUGCUAUAGAGUGGUUUGUUCAAUUGUUAAAUAGUGAGUUCUCGCUUAAGGACAUGGGCGAUCUUUAUUACUUUCUUGGGAUAGAAGUUACUCGUUCUUCAUCAGGCUGUCUUCAUCUAUGUCAGAAGAAGUAUAUACGUGAUAUUCUUAUUCGGUGUUCGAUGGAAAAUGCGAAGAGUGUUAAUACACUGAUGAUUAGUUCCUCUAUCAUGACUAGAGAUGGUGGUGAGCGUUUAGAGGAUCCGACUGAAUACAAGAGCCUUGCUGGAGCAUUACAGUAUGUCGCUCUUACGCGGCCUAAUGUUGCAUACGCUGUAAAUCGAAUAUGUCAGUUUAUGCAUUGACCACUUCUGUUCAUAUGACUGCUCUAAAGCGUAUUUUGAGGUAUCUAGGUGGAACGAUUGAAUUUGGGAUUGUGUUUCGUCCGUCCACUAGUUUGUCAUUAGUUGGGUAUGCUGAUGCAAACUAGGGGUUAGAUUUUGAUGACCGGAGGUCUACUACUGGGUACUGUGUUUAUUUCGGAUGUAAUCCUAUGUCAUGGUGUACGAAGAAACAGCAGGUUGUUGCUCGGUCUACUGCUGAGGCAGAAUACCGGAGUCUUGCCGCGGUCACUAGUGAGGUUACAUGGCUUUUUUCGUUACUUCAAGAAUUACAUGUUCAGUCUACUAGUAUUCCCAAUAUUUGGAGUUCUGGUGCGGUUGCUGUUGCUGUUAAUCCUGUUCUUCAUUCAAAGUUUAAGCAUGUUGAAUUAGAUUUAUUUUUCGUUUGUGAAAAGGUUGCUGAUGGUACUGUUGCCGUUGGCGAGGUUCCGGUGUGUGAUCAAGUUGCUGAUGUUCUCACUAAGCCACUUUCGUUAUCGAUUUUUGCUCGUUUUCGGAAUUUCCUAUGGGUCUUGUCUGUGGAGAAGAUGGAUGAAUAUUAGAGUAUAGAGAGUUGUUAGUUAGUUGUGAAUCUGGUAGAAGGUUGUUGCUUAAUAGGAGCGGUUACUCAUGUCUAUAAAUACUGUACAUCUGUAUUCAGAGAGCAAUGAUUUUUGAAUAAACAAACAAAGAAGUUUAUUCUUCAUUUUCUAUUUUGUUCUCAGUUUGGCUAGAUAUUUCUUUCUAUUUUAUCUAGUUCUUUCAUUCUCGAAAGGCGAGGCUAGUAACACUUUUACUCUACGAAAGAAAAACUGAGCCACCACAAACCAAGGCAUCCCUCCCAACAAAAAAAAAAAUUGUAACUAAACAUCUUGUGAAAAUUCUUAAAAAAUUAUAAAAAAAAAUUAAAAAUUUUAAAUUUUAUAAUGCAAUUUUUUAAUGAUUUUUACAAUUUUUAGUUAACGAUUAUUUUACAGUUUUUUUAAGAAUUGAGUAUUUUGUUACAAAAUUGUGUUUUUUCUCUAGGAAUUUGAGUAUUGGCAAAAUUAGGCAAAAAGGCCACUUUUAAUAAAAAAAAUAGGAAAUCAUGAUCAAAUUGAUAAAAUAUGUAAGUAUUGAGGACUAAAUAUAUUAUUAUACCAGUUAAAAAAAGACUUUUAAUUAUCAAUUUAACGAUAAGUAAUCAAAAUAAAAAUAAAUUCAAACAUUAAUACCUAAAUUAAAAAUUUUUAAAAUUAAGUAACCAAAAUAAAAAAUGCGAGCAUAAUUAAGAAAAGUAUCAAUUUAUCCGAAUUUAUAUUAUAUUUAUUAUUAAUAUAUCAAAAUUUAUAUGAAUGUUAUAUUAUUUUAAAUCAUUUUGAGCUUCUAGUCAGCUACUAAAUGCGUAUAUAUAAUGUUGUGGCAUGGCCCAUCGAGGUCUUGCUUCGAAUGGAUGUAUGUUAAUAUAUGUCUCUCACCAACUUCAAAGUCGGCUGGCACACCAAACACGAACAAAUCAUUGGCAAAAUAUCACAAUAUAUUUAUAUCCCGAGGUGUCACAUGCGAUUUUUCUAUAGGUUCUCUUCAAGUAAGUUGACCAUAGGUCUACGGUAGCAACUGGAUACAUUUUCAAUCAGAAAAUAUUAAUAUAUACAUAUUUUAUAUAUAUCAUAUUGAUUUAAAAAUUUACAUAUAUAACAAUUAAAAAUAUUAUUUGUAUAAAAAAUAUAAUAUCAUUUUAAUUUUAGAUGGAUAAAAACAGAUUUCGUAGUUGAUUAUUACACCUAUAUAUUUCCCUGGUUAGAUGUUUUGACUUCAAUCAGAGAAACAUUAAAGUAGUAUAAUUUCCGAAACUGAAUAGAAUUAUUUAUUGAGCUUAGUUUUACAUGUUACAAAACAUAGACUGAAACAAAAGAAUACUGUGAGGCUGCUUUUGAACAAAGUAUCUGUCCUUCGGCAUGACUAGCGAAGGGAAUCUUAAUCAACAAAUUAAGAAGCAGUGCACUCUUUAGGAAGUCCCAUAGGAAAUCGCUUGGUGUCGGUGCAGUAAUUGUAAAUCAUAUAAUUUUUCUGAACCCAUUUGAGCCUUUGUUGGCUCGCUAUAUCCAGUUCUUGCGAUAGCCAUGAAUUUUGGGAGGGUGAUGAGGUGGAGGAACAUGAUGAUUUACCGGAAGACCAGACACAUGCAUCAGCUUUGAAAGUCCUGUAAGAAGCAGUGAAAGGAGCUUGGCUCCAGUCCGUCUUAACAAGACCACCUCGAGUGGCCCAAUCAUCGGCGUUCCAAAGACUCGAAUACACUCUCAUCGGCUGGCUCUUUGGGAACGCAACGCCCUUUGAUUCCAAGUUCUUGAACUCUCUAAUUGGUGUCCCAUCAACAGAGAAGCUGUAAACAUUCAAAAGAAUCACAAUUAAACAUACUGAAAAUAAUCGAAACUGAAACGUUUUUAGAAAAAUGGGAUUGUAAAAUAAGACAUACAUAAUACGUUGAGGGUUCCAAAGAAGGGAGUAGGUAUGAAAGUCUUUGGUGGGAUCGAACCAAAGGUAGAACUGUUGCUCUUUGUCACCUUUGCCUUGUGUAUAUACAUUGGUGUGGACUAUGUAUGGGUCUCCGCUUAGGUUCCCCAAGAAUUCGAAGUCGAUUUCAUCCCAUGUCGACCCUUCCGAACGAAGCUGCAAUUGUCACCCCAGAUAUCAACACAGAGUUCUAACAUAAAUAAGAGACAAGUAUGAUGAUAAAACUUACAUAAUAAGUGGUAACAGUGCCAG
This 27288-nucleotide long non-coding RNA is filed under the name Gossypium raimondii (Peruvian cotton). RNAcentral's name for it is "long non-coding RNA (GRAI_LNC002483)". The record is from RNAcentral. Lineage: Eukaryota; Viridiplantae; Streptophyta; Magnoliopsida; Malvales; Malvaceae.